AAAAAAGAAUGUGUCCACAGUACACGGAUGCCCCACUCACACUAUCAUUUUCUAUGUUUAAAGGACUGUGAAAUUGGAAUAAAUUCUCUAAUUUGGCAUUAAAAUUAGAAUGAUCUUAUCAAAGGGAACAUGUAUACUAAGUUUCAAGUUGAUUGGACUUCUACUUUAUCAAAAACUACCUUGACCAAAAACUUUAACCUGAAAUUUGCACUAUCAUUUUCUAUGUUCAGUGAACCGUAAAAUUGGGGUCAAAACUCUAAUUUGGCAUUUAAAUUAGAAAGAUCAUAUCAUAGGGCACAUGUAUACUAAGUUUCAAGUUGAUUGGACUUCAACUUCAUCAAAAACUACCUUGACCAAAAACUUUAACCUGAAGCCAAAAACUUUAACCUGAAAUUUGCACUAUCAUUUUCUAUGUUCAGUGAACCGUAAAAUUUGGGUCAAAACUCUAAUUUGGCAUUUAAAUUAGAAAGAUCAUAUCAUAAGGAACAUGUGUACUAAGUUUCAAGUUGAUUGGACUUCAACUUCAUCAAAAACUACCUUGACCAAAAACUUUAACCUGAAGUGGGACAGACGGACGAACGAACAGACGAACGAACGAACGAACGAACAGACGGACGAACGGACGCACAGACCAGAAAACAUAAUGCCCCUCUACUAUCGUAGGUGGGGCAUAAAAAGGGGG
Molecule: long non-coding RNA, 682 nt
Filed under: Mytilus galloprovincialis (Mediterranean mussel)
Lineage: Eukaryota; Metazoa; Mollusca; Bivalvia; Mytilida; Mytilidae
Source: RNAcentral